This 494-nucleotide ribosomal RNA is filed under the name uncultured bacterium. Its description in RNAcentral is "partial 16S ribosomal RNA". It matches the Rfam family "Bacterial small subunit ribosomal RNA", at positions 28 to 507 of the family's 1533-position model. The record is from RNAcentral.
GACGAACGCUGGCGGCGUGCCUAAUACAUGCAAGUAGAACGCUGAAGGAGGAGCUUGCUUCUCUGGAUGAGUUGCGAACGGGUGAGUAACGCGUAGGUAACCUGCCUGGUAGCGGGGGAUAACUAUUGGAAACGAUAGCUAAUACCGCAUAAUAGUAGAUGUUGCAUGACAUUUGCUUAAAAGGUGCAAUUGCAUCACUACCAGAUGGACCUGCGUUGUAUUAGCUAGUUGGUGGGGUAACGGCUCACCAAGGCGACGAUACAUAGCAGACCUGAGAGGGGGAAGGGCAACCUGGGAACGGGAAAACGGCCCAGACUCUAAGGGGAGGCAGAAGAGGGGAAUAUUGGACAAGGGGGGAAAGCUUGACGGAGAACUCCGGCGGGGGGGAAGAAGGUUUCGGGUCGUAAAAGUCUUUUGUAAGGGAAGGAAGAGUGUGAGGGUGAAAAGUUCACACUGUGACGGUAUCUAACCAGAAAGGGACGGCUAACUACGUG